AUUAAUGUUAUCUGCAAGAUCAUUAAUAUACAACAUGAACAGCAAGGAUACUGAUGUACUUCCCUGGGGCACACCCAAGCUGUUCAUGACUUUCCAUACAAGAUAACUUGCUGCAUCCUCUCUACCAAAAAAAUCCUCAAUGCUGAUACAAAUUUUGCUUGAUAUCCCAUAUGAUUGGCUUUCGAUGAUUUAUGGCCUCACGGGACUGCGCAGUCUUUGCAGCUGCCCGUUGGUGCCACCACGGCACCACAGGAGGAGCAGAUGGACGAUGAGCCCUCACCUCCGCCCUGCCCGCCUCCCACCCAUGGAUCUGGACUCGCCAUCGCCCUUGCCGUCAUUGCCCCAGGACCCACUCUCAGGCCUGGAUGUGUGCCCUGGCAGCAGUUUUAGGAGCAGGGGAAGCUCACAGAGGCCGGACGGAUUGAGCUUAAGAGGAGAGGGUUAUUAAUCGAUGGACAUGACAGAGUCAGCUUUCCAUCUACCAGCCACGGUUAUGGGAAUCACGUAACUGAACAUAUCAGGACCACAACUGUAUUGGCCAGAUGUACCUUUGGAAUUAUUGCCAGCACCGAAUAUAACAUUUCUAAAUCAA
Long non-coding RNA from Schistocerca piceifrons (Central American locust), 592 nucleotides. RefSeq lists it as uncharacterized. The transcript has 2 exons. NCBI's taxonomy places the organism in Eukaryota, Metazoa, Arthropoda, Insecta, Orthoptera, Acrididae. The record is from RefSeq and is a predicted model, not a curated record.